Long non-coding RNA from Pogoniulus pusillus (Red-fronted tinkerbird), 676 nucleotides. RefSeq lists it as uncharacterized. Lineage: Eukaryota; Metazoa; Chordata; Aves; Piciformes; Lybiidae. The record is from RefSeq and is a predicted model, not a curated record. The transcript is spliced from 3 exons.
UGUUAGCACACAUGAUGCCAAUUGUUGGGUCUUCUACAAGGAGAAAGACCAACUGUUACUUGUGGUCUUAAGGUGGCUCCUAACCUUUGCCUGUGAAGAAGCCUCAGCUAGUGCAAACUGGCUGAGAUCUCUGAACCUCAGUUUUAGCACUUGACUCUGAUUUACUCUGUUCUGACCCGGAUGCCUUUUGCUGCUCCACCUCUCCCUUGCAUAGUUAAAAGGGCAGAUGUGCUCUUUUGCUGUAAAGCUCUUCUUCUAUAAGUGUUGUCCUGAAGCAAAGAGUUUGUAAUACAGAGAAGUGCUAGGCAUCCAGAGGCAUAAAACAGAACAAACAGGCUUCCUGCUUCGGUAGCUUGUAUUAUAGUUAUACAGUACUUCGAGGGACUUGGAAGCAUCAGUACUUGGAAGCAGCUACCUCCCUGGCACUGUAAGCAAAUAAACUGUAUUUGUGCAUCAAUCUGCAACCUGCACUUCAAGAAACAUUUCCUCCUCUGCUGACAGACACUUAGAAAGACUCAGUUAUGGACUGAGUGAAGAGAGCACUGACAGAAGGAGGAAACUCACCUUUUUUUCCUCCAUGCAUUAAAUUCAAACCAAUUGGAGGAGGGCUUUUUCUUUGUCUAGCCAUUAGCACUUUGAAUGGUUCUGCUGCUGUAUUGAACCACCAUUGUCUGCA